UACGGAGGGUCCAAGCGUUAUCCGGAUUUAUUGGGUUUAAAGGGUCCGCAGGCGGGAAAAUAAGUCAGUGGUGAAAUCCUAUCGCUUAACGAUAGAACUGCCAUUGAUACUGUUUUUCUUGAGUGUAAUUGAAGUGGGCGGAAUGUGUCAUGUAGCGGUGAAAUGCAUAGAUAUGACACAGAACACCGAUUGCGAAGGCAGCUCACUAAAUUAUUACUGACGCUCAGGGACGAAAGCGUGGGGAGCAAAC
This 250-nucleotide ribosomal RNA is filed under the name uncultured bacterium. Its description in RNAcentral is "partial 16S ribosomal RNA". It matches the Rfam family "Bacterial small subunit ribosomal RNA", at positions 524 to 773 of the family's 1533-position model. The record is from RNAcentral.